CUCGCGCCCUGGCAGUGUGGAGGAGAAGGGCUGGAGCAGCGCCGCGGCACCGAAACAGGAGAUGGCCUCUGAAAGAGGGGUUAGCUGAAAAAGUUGAAUCCUCUGUUACUGCCAAGGAAUGGUCUUUUGAAAUGGCUAAAUGGGUAAAAACAUUCUGAGAGUGCCUAAGUUCAACCACCAGUACCCAGAAUGAAAAGCAUAAAACUUGUAACUGGAGAAGAGGGUCAUGAAGACAGCAAAUAUUUGGAAAGCAAUGUGGUUUGAGCACUCAGAAGCAAAGUGCCAUACAAGUGAUUGUUUUAAAAGUGCCAUGUGUAGGAAACGCACACCAGCUUUUAAAAAGAAGUGUUUUGGCAUUUCAUCCCAAUUUCCUGAUGAAUGACCACUGCAGUGAUCCUACCUUCAUGAUGCCCCUUUCCAUCACCCGUCACUUGACACACCAUGGUUCAUCUGUCUGAUUUCCAGAUGCCUUUGUCACCUGCCACCAGCUAUGAGCACAGAAGAGCCUGGAAGUGUCACUUCCAGCCCCUGAGGAAUGAGAAGAAAUACAGGUAUUCAGACCUGCUUUGACAGGAAGGUUCUGGAAAGCCAAGAAAGGCCGCAAUGCAUCAGUGCAGGGUGAGGGCUGUGGUGGACUCUGGGCAGCUGGAGCUGCAGCCAGCUAAAGCUCAGCGUGAUUAUCAAGCAUGGAAUAAUGCUGCUCAUCUGCAGACUGCCUAACUUUGGGGGAUGGAGAUGAGAACCUGGGACUGCAGUGGAGGGGAGGAGGCAAUCACACCACGCGUAUCACAUUAGCACAGCAAAAACUAAAAUCUAGCCAGCUGUGGCCUGGCCUCACUUUCUCCUCAUUGUGUCUCUAGCAUGUGCAAAUGGACAUUACCACCUCUUUCUUUUUCUCUGCGUGUGUCCCACCCCUCAGCAUGUAUCAUAGUGCUCUUUAGUGCUGGGUUUCUGGUGAAAACCUGCACAUCUACAUUUAUUGUAUUCUCUGUAGACAUCAAAACUACAGCUUCUUAAAACAGCUCUGAAGAUGGAGAUGAAUAUGCAUAAAGCAAAUCCUGCUUCAAAGUGCCCAGCGUUGUGUCUGCAGUUCCUGGGUCCUGAGGCAGGAAGACAGCAUCACUAGCUGGGGAGCCUUCAUGGGAGGCAGUAGAUCACUUACUGCUGGGAACAGGAAAGGUGGGGGCAGGCUCCUCCAGCAGAAGCCCAGCUGGGAGGCAUCUGCAGUCAAGACUCAUUUCACAACGAGAAAGCUGAAGCUCUGGAGGUCAUCUAGGAGGUGACAGGUGGAGCUGUCUUCAGCAUAAGGUCUGGAAGGCCCUUGAGCCUCGGGCUGCCUUGGACCCUCCUGGGCCCUUGCCUCCCUGGGUGAAGUCUCUGCUAUGACCCCUAGCUGGAGCAAGGGAAAGGUAAUUUUCCCCCGGAGUGCAGAGAACGUGGUUUAUGGCUGCUGCUGAGAGCACUCUCGAAGAGACUCUAAAUUACCGUGCUCGCUGAAACAUGCGUGCAUGAAUAAUAGAUCCAGCCCAGAUGCAGAGCGCCUCUUGCGCAAUUUCUCAAGGCGCCUGGAGACUCUCUCAAGGGUGCUUGCCGAGGUCACAGCCUACUUGAGCUAUUCCGGGCUGGGAGAAGCAGAAAUCUGCAGGUGGGGAAGACACCAUUCCUCAGCAGUGAGCCUUAUGCAGAAGAGGGGAAAGGCAGGCUCUGCAGGAAGAGGAAGAAAGGAAGGCGAGCGGCUGUCAGCUCCUGCUUGGGAAGAGGCCUGCGGCUAGCGCUGUGUGCUCCGCUUCAUUUAAUCCUCCCCAAUUAGCAAGGUGGGCACGUCCCUGUGUCACAGCAUGAGAGUGGGCUAGAAUCACAGAGAGCUUUUCCUGGCCCAUGAGUACAUGUCGCAGCAGGUAAAGCGAGCUUAAAAAUCUGAGAGCAAAAUAUAUGCCUUUCAUGAUCACUGCUCCCCAGAAAGCUGGGAGCCCUCUUCUAUCCUCACACUGGGCUCAGUGACCUUGAGCAUGUCCCCGUUACUGUGAUGUUCCAUGAUCUCAAUGACCUUGAUGUCACAAUGUGCAGGAGGUACCCGCAGUGCUUCCCAGCGACACACUGAUUAUGAAGAGAAGUGGCCGCCCAGUCUGAGUGUGCUCUGUCACCAGCAUGUGACUGCUAUUGUUCUUUCUGUAAGCAGGAAAUCAGAGACAUCUUAGGAAUGAGAGGCUGCAGCUUCCAUGUUAGUGUCUGGUUUCCUGCAUUUGGAGAGACACUAGAGUCUGCCUACCUUCAGCUCUGGAGGUAGAAUAAUGGCUGCUAACAAUCUUCAUCUCUGUAACCUGUGAAUGCGUCCCUCACAAGGCAAAGCAGACUUUGUAGGUGUGAUUACACUACAGAUCCUGAGGUAGGGAGAGCAGAGUAAGGAAGUAGCUCACCAGCACCAGCAGGAAACCAAUGUCUUGCAGCAGCACCUCCUUGGCACCCUCCUGGGAGCCCUAGCUGCCCAUAGGCAAACACUGUCCCUGUGCUCCGUGCAUCAUUCCCAGUGCUGACUGUACUGAUCCCCUUCUCUGCAAAUCCAUG
Molecule: long non-coding RNA, 2565 nt
Organism: Jaculus jaculus (lesser Egyptian jerboa)
Lineage: Eukaryota; Metazoa; Chordata; Mammalia; Rodentia; Dipodidae
Exons: 6
Source: RefSeq, a predicted model, not a curated record